This 755-nucleotide ribosomal RNA is filed under the name Polyides rotunda. RNAcentral's name for it is "eukaryotic LSU rRNA". It matches the Rfam family "Eukaryotic large subunit ribosomal RNA", at positions 306 to 1145 of the family's 3401-position model. The record is from RNAcentral. Lineage: Eukaryota; Rhodophyta; Florideophyceae; Gigartinales; Polyidaceae.
UCAUCAAAGGCUAAAUAGCGGCCGGAGACCGAUAGCGAACAAGUACCGUGAGGGAAAGAUGACAAGCACUUUGAAAAGAGGGUGAAAAGAGCCUGAAACCGUCACGGGGGAAGCGGAUUGCGUUGGCUUGGUGGGUCCCUGCGUGUUCAGCCCGUUUUGGGUGCAUUGACGUAGGGACUUAUCCGCCGUGGGUUCUGGUUGGUCGAUUUUGGACCGACUGGGGCUGAGGGCUCCCUUUUAUAGGUGAGGACGGUGGAGCGACGACGCGAUACGACCCGUCUUGAAACACGGACCAAGGAGUCUAGCGCGAGUGCGAGUCGGAGGGUGCAAGCCCGUGGGCGAAGUGAAAGCGAGUUUUAAAAACUAGCAGUUUGGGGCGGCAUAAGGUCGUUGACCUUAAGACCGACCCUGAGCAGUUGCGCUGGGACCCGAAAGAUGGUGAACUAUGCCGGAGUAGGGCAAAGCCAGAGGAAACUCUGGUGGAGGCUCGUAGCGGUGCUGACGUGCAAAUCGCUCGUCGAACUUGGGUAUAGGGGCGAAAGACUAAUCGAACCAUCUAGUAGCUGGUUCCCUCCGAAGUUUCUCUCAGGAUAGCGGGCCGACAUGCGUUGUUUUGUGCGGUAAAGCGAAUGAUUAGCGCACUCGGGGGCGUUUAGCCUUCGGGCGAUUCUCAAACUUUCAAUGCGCAAGGGUGCCGUUGCUUAAUUGAACGGUACCGGCAAAAACGUCGGCCCUGUGGGCCACUUUUGGUAAGC